RNAcentral lists this ribosomal RNA (253 nucleotides) under uncultured bacterium. Its description in RNAcentral is "partial 16S ribosomal RNA". It matches the Rfam family "Bacterial small subunit ribosomal RNA", at positions 524 to 776 of the family's 1533-position model. The record is from RNAcentral.
UACGUAGGUGGCAAGCGUUAUCCGGAAUUAUUGGGCGUAAAGCGCUCGCAGGCGGUUUCUUAAGUCUGAUGUGAAAGCCCACGGCUCAACCGUGGAGGGUCAUUGGAAACUGGGAGACUUGAGUGGAGAAGAGGAGAGUGGAAUUCCACGUGUAGCGGUGAAAUGCGUAGGGAUGUGGAGGAACACCAGUGGCGAAGGCGACUCUCUGGUCUGUAACUGACGCUGAGGAGCGAAAGCGUGGGGAGCAAACAGG